UCUCUCUCUCGCUCGCUCUACCACCCUCGCUCUCUUUCCACUGCACUCGCUCCUUGUAUCAGGUGAUCGGGUUAAUUGGGAACCCACCUGCACAUUGAUUGCAGGGUGGCGCUAGCCUGUAUAAAGCUAAGCCGAUGUCUUGUUGGAUUAAUUCCUCCCGAGCUUCUGGUACGAUACAGCAGUAAAUGCUGGCGUACUGCGACGGAUUGAUCAGCAAGAGCCGAUUAUACGACAGCUACAGCGCAGCAGUCUGUUUAAUUCUGCCAUUGCGGAGAGAGGUGUUCGUGGUAUCUCCACCAAUGAGAGUAUAGUGCCUCCGGUCCUGGGGGUUCACUGCUGUACUCACCUCUCCAUGGUAAAUUGUCCAACCUAAAUUGGAAGAGUGGACUGCCUUCUCAGUUGCUGUUGUGAACUCCUCCUUGGUGGAGUCUGCUGUCUUGUCUUGUUUUGUCUUAUCUUGUUUUUAUUAAGUAGGCUUACCCUUUUUUUGGGUUCGCCUGGUGUUCUAUUUUACCCUGGACUGUUGCUCGUACCCACACUUCUGUGAUCGGGCUGAAGUGAUUCUCUGCCCGAGUGUCGUGCUGGGACUCUAAAUCGCCUGGGUGGCCGGUCUCAGCCGGUGGGGAGCCAGACCGGCCUACGCCUGAGAAUAAUUAUUACCAGCACGAGUGUGAAGGAGGACGAGCCAGUGGCCCUGGGACCUCAGGUGGUGGGUCGUUUUCACACUUUCUUUUGUACAGCACUGGGUGGUCUGCAGUGAUUCUUUUGGUGUGAUUUUCUUUUGGUUCCACGGCUGCUGGUAAGUCCAAGUUCCACGAUUGUUUAUUUUUACUGUAGGACACUGUCAAUAAUGACGCUACAUCUUGACUUUUAAUAUUUUAUUUAUAAAAUAUUAUUUAUAAUAUUUUAUUUAUUUCUAUAAAUAAAACUGUUUUAAUAUUGGAAGCCAACCUGCCUCAGUGUGCAUCCUUGAAUCUGUGCGGUCUUCUUUUAUUCCUUUUAUUUAUUUUUCUUAAAUAUAUUUCCUGGGGGUGUAAUUCCCCUAGGUG
Non-coding RNA from Maylandia zebra (zebra mbuna), 1049 nucleotides. Lineage: Eukaryota; Metazoa; Chordata; Actinopteri; Cichliformes; Cichlidae. The record is from RefSeq and is a predicted model, not a curated record.